UACGAGUGCCUCAAGCGUUAUCCGGAAUCAUUGGGCGUAAAGGUUGUGUAGGUGGUUGUAUUAGUCUUCUGUUAAAUUCUUCGGCUUAACCGGGGGCAUGCAGAGGAAACGGUACAACUAGAGGAUGCGAGGGGUCUGCGGAACUCAUAGUGUAGCGGUAAAAUGCGUUGAUAUUAUGGGGAACACCAAAAGCGAAGGCAGCAGACUGGAGCACUCCUGACACUGAAACAAGAAAGCGUGGGUCGCGAAUGGG
This 253-nucleotide ribosomal RNA is filed under the name uncultured bacterium. RNAcentral's name for it is "partial 16S ribosomal RNA". It matches the Rfam family "Bacterial small subunit ribosomal RNA", at positions 524 to 776 of the family's 1533-position model. The record is from RNAcentral.